Megalobrama amblycephala (Wuchang bream) is the source of this 2717-nucleotide long non-coding RNA. RefSeq lists it as uncharacterized. The transcript has 5 exons. The record is from RefSeq and is a predicted model, not a curated record. NCBI's taxonomy places the organism in Eukaryota, Metazoa, Chordata, Actinopteri, Cypriniformes, Xenocyprididae.
CUUACCUCACUGUAGGUUCCGUCAGGGUUGCAGACAGGGACGAACACCUGUGGGAAGAGUUUCUUAGCUUGCUGCUCUGUGUAUUUCUUCUCUGCCACACACCUGGACGUAUCUGGAGACACAACACAGUGACAUGUGACUUCUUAGACACAGAAUAAUUCAAGAUGUUUCGGAAGUGGUGGAUCCAUGUGUGUGGUUGGGAACUGGACCAAAAGUUCUACUGGAGUCAUCAGUAUCUCUAUGCCAGUCCAGUGGUAAAACGAUCACAGAUAUCUCUGUGUUGAGUCUGUGUGAGGUGAUGGUGUCCAGCAGGUUGUAAUGCAUCUGUGAAUUUGUGUAUGUCACUGAUCUGUCUCAAAAUUUCAUUUCAAUGGAGACGUAAACUCACUCUCCACUGGGCAAAUCAUUAAAACACUUUCUGUCUGGGAUGGCAUGAGAGGACCAAAAGAAAAGCAAUGAAAAAAGGUGAAUAAGACAAUCCCAAAAUGCAUUGCAGGGAAAAAAAAGAUGGUAUAGCCUCUAUAUAUAUAUAUAUAUAUAUAUAUAUAUAUAUAUAUGCGGAUACCUUAUCAUUCAGUACUGAAAAAUAUUACAAAAAUAUACUCCAGUCUGUUUAAACUUGGCUAUUUUACACAAUACUUGUGUGCAUCAUGUAUUUUAUUGCUUAUUAGAGUCUCAUGGCAUUUGCUUAUCGCCAUGGAUAGAUGUUGGAAAAUGUGUUAAAUAAAUAUGUUAAAUAAAAGAGCAAGGACGCUGAUCGCUGAGUGUUUCCAGAGUGGAAAAAUGUAAAAAUAGGUCAGAGCAAAAGAAAAGGUUCAAUAGCUGUAUUUUAUGCUCGGCAACAAUUAUUAUUUAUGCUUUUAUUAUUUAUAUACUUCCCGUUCCAAUCUAAUCAUUCCUUUUUGGUUUUCUUUUUUUAUUUUAGCAGAACAUAAUUCAUCCUCUUUUCAUACCACUUUUCCUCUCUCCCUCUUUCUCACACCCUUUUUAAUCCCAAUGCAAGAAUGACACAUUGUGCUUACUAGUAGGGAAAGAAAGAGUGUACGGGAGACAGAAAGAAAGACAGCUCUGAGCAGAAGAAGAAGAAAAGAUGCAGGGCACGGGAGUCUUCCGGCUGAGCCCAAUACAAUGAGAGUGUCUGUGAGCUGUUUGACCUUUGACCUCAAUGGGAUUUUUUUCCUUGCCGAUGUGGCCUUGGUUACACCAUCAGAAAAGAAAAGUUGUUCCAGAGGCAUAAAAAGAAUGUUCAAUGACACUGCAAACAUCACCUCAUCGUCAAAUUCAAGAGUGGACAGGAAAUCGACUUGCUUUGUGUUGGGACAUUAUCUGCACAGCUGUGACCCUGUGCCCCUUCCGCUCCGUCAUUCUCAGCGCUGCUGUCAGUGAGCUCGCAGGAGGCCCGACAGAGAUGUCAGGAAACAGAUUCUGCCCGGAGCGCCGCCACAAUCGGCCACGAUGGUCAUCUCUCGAUCUCCGCCAAGACAGAGUUCACAAUCCUCACACCCAGGCCAAGCGAUCGCAGCCAACGCAGUUCAAUUCGGUCACAGUCGGCGUCCUAGACAUGGACAAAACCAACACGGCCACCACAGAGAUCUCAUCAUAGCCAAGACACAUUUAGCGAUUCAACACUUUAACAGUUGAAAUCGACCCAAACGAGACCCCACAAAACCAGACACGGCCAAAUAAUCACCAAUCAAUUCAGCCGCAGCCAAACCGAGACACGUCCAUUGAACAUCUCCGGGGGAAUCUGAAACCACCCACGACCGCUGUCUGUAUGCAGCAUCAACAGCUGGUCACAGAGACACCAGAGGACCACCAGAACCAGUCCAAACAGACCUCAGAUGCUUUCUGCACCAUGAGAACACUGACAGGAUCACAUUCAGGACUGUUUCGGAACAAACAUUACAGACUUGUGCGAUUUCUGUGCCACUAGCAGUGUUAUUUAUUAAUAUAUUUUGUAUUCAUGUUUUCAAAUAGUAUUUGUUGUGUGUUGCAUAUAUGCGGUUGCUAGGUGUUGCAUACAGGCCAAAGCCUAAAGAUAAUUUUAUAAUUUCUCUAUUUUGAAAACCAUAAUUCCAGUCUCCUAGAAAAAGCAUUGUACGGUUUAUAUUUUGCAUUAAGUAUUUUGCUUAAACGUGCAUGGCAAGUUAUGCUCUGAAGUUUAAUAAUGUGAGCAGUUUGUUCAAAUCACUAAUCCUAAGUAUGAACAAUUGAAAUGUUUGCUUUAGCAAGCAUCACUAAUUAAUGAGUAAGAUAAAUGUUCCUAGACAUUUUUUCACUGUGUAGCUUGAUUAAAGGAAAAACGACCCUAUAGGUCGUUUUUUAAGCACCAUAUUACGACCUAUAUUUACGUUUUGAAGUCAUGCGCCCUCUAGUGGGCGUAAAAAUAAUGACAGUGUCAUGUUACGUCUGUCGUCAUGAAAUUACGUAUGACUGUCAUUACCAAUUAAAAUGCGUGGACUUUUUACACUAUUUCUACUAUUUCCAUUUACAAAAAUUAAAUUUUAUUAAUGACUUCACCCCUAAACCUAGUGAUUUAUAGUGCAUUUACACUUUAUGAGCAAAUGCGUUCCCUGGGAUUGAACCCACGAUCGCAUGAUCACAUGAUUGCAUAUUGCUUUUGCAAUGCUCUACCAGCUGAGCUACGCAAAAUUGAAAUAUGAUGCAGAUAAAAGGGAACAAUGCAUUAAAAUGAAAGCAAAUGCUCCUAUGGGUCG